GGGAAAGCGCCAACGAUGGUGAGUUGGGACGGACUGUAACUCCGUUGCUAAAUAGCUUAAUAGGUUCGAGUCCUAUCUAUCCCA
RNAcentral lists this transfer RNA (84 nucleotides) under Bacteroidia bacterium. Its description in RNAcentral is "tRNA-Tyr". It matches the Rfam family "tRNA". Rfam says of the family: Transfer RNA (tRNA) molecules are approximately 80 nucleotides in length. Their secondary structure includes four short double-helical elements and three loops (D, anti-codon, and T loops). Further hydrogen bonds mediate the characteristic L-shaped molecular structure. tRNAs have two regions of fundamental functional importance: the anti-codon, which is responsible for specific mRNA codon recognition, and the 3' end, to which the tRNAs corresponding amino acid is attached (by aminoacyl-tRNA synthetases). tRNAs cope with the degeneracy of the genetic code in two manners: having more than one tRNA (with a specific anti-codon) for a particular amino acid; and 'wobble' base-pairing, i.e. permitting non-standard base-pairing at the 3rd anti-codon position. The record is from RNAcentral. Lineage: Bacteria; Pseudomonadati; Bacteroidota; Bacteroidia.